GCCGCUAUGGUGAAAUUGGUAGACACGCUGCUCUUAGGAAGCAGUGCAAAGGCUUUUCGGUUCGAGUCCGAGUGGCGGCA
This 80-nucleotide transfer RNA is filed under the name Rivina humilis. Its description in RNAcentral is "tRNA-Leu". It matches the Rfam family "tRNA". From Rfam's summary of the family: Transfer RNA (tRNA) molecules are approximately 80 nucleotides in length. Their secondary structure includes four short double-helical elements and three loops (D, anti-codon, and T loops). Lineage: Eukaryota; Viridiplantae; Streptophyta; Magnoliopsida; Caryophyllales; Petiveriaceae. The record is from RNAcentral.